UACGAAGGGGGCUAGCGUUGCUCGGAUUGACUGGGCGUAAAGGGCGCGUAGGCGGUUCGUACAGUCAGACGUGAAAUUCCUGGGCUCAACCUGGGGGCUGCGUUUGAUACGUGCGGGCUUGAGUGCGGAAGAGGGUCGUGGAAUUCCCAGUGUAGAGGUGAAAUUCGUAGAUAUUGGGAAGAACACCGGUGGCGAAGGCGGCGACCUGGUCCGAUACUGACGCUGAGGCGCGAAAGCGUGGGGAGCAAACGGG
This 253-nucleotide ribosomal RNA is filed under the name uncultured bacterium. Its description in RNAcentral is "partial 16S ribosomal RNA". It matches the Rfam family "Bacterial small subunit ribosomal RNA", at positions 524 to 776 of the family's 1533-position model. The record is from RNAcentral.